GUUGUUCUUUCCAACUUGCUUCGAAGACCAUUGGUUUGUAUUCAUAGUCGAUCUAAAGGACAGAAAGUAUGUCAUCCUUGACUCUUUGCAUAAGCAAAAUGAUGAUUUUCAAGUUUUUAUUCGUGAAAGAUUGAGAUCAUCUUUUCAGCAUCACUGGGAGAAGUACAUGCAGGCGGACAUGGGUUUCAAUGAUUUUGAUUUUGUAUACCCUGCCGUCCCCGAACAACCUCUUGAUAACAACACCGAUUCCGGGAUAUAUGCAAUGAUGUUCAUUGAACACUGGACCUCACGAAUAUCUGCUCUGCGUUAUACAUUCAGUCAGAAGGACAUUCCAAAUAUAAGGAUCAAGAUUGCCAAUGAUUUGGUUUUCCAACC
Panicum virgatum (switchgrass) is the source of this 375-nucleotide long non-coding RNA. RefSeq lists it as uncharacterized. The record is from RefSeq and is a predicted model, not a curated record. The transcript has 3 exons. Lineage: Eukaryota; Viridiplantae; Streptophyta; Magnoliopsida; Poales; Poaceae.